GCAAGAGGAAGAAAAGUCGAACAAGGUCCCGUAGGGGAACCGCGGAGGGAUCAACACCACCAAAUAGAAGGCCGGCUUCACGGCCGGCCGAAGUAUUUUUUUCACCCAUGUCUUUUGCGCACUUGUUGUUUCCUGGGCGGGUCCGCCCGCCACCAGGACCAAACCACAAACCUUUUUUUUUUAUGCAGUUGCAAUCAGCGUCAGUAAAAACAAUGUAAUUAUUACAACUUUCAACAACGGAUCUCUUGGUUCUGGCAUCGAUGAAGAACGCAGCGAAAUGCGAUACGUAGUGUGAAUUGCAGAAUUCAGUGAAUCAUCGAAUCUUUGAACGCACAUUGCGCCCUUUGGUAUUCCAAAGGGCAUGCCUGUUCGAGCGUCAUUUGUACCUUCAAGCCUUGCUUGGUGUUGGGCGUUUGGUCUCUCUUUCUUGGGAGACUCGCCUUAAAACGAUUGGCAGCCGGCCUACUGGUUUCGGAGCGCAGCACAUAUUUUGCGCUUUGUACCAGGAGAAAAGGACGGUAAUCCAUCAAGACUCUACAUUUUUUAACUUUUGACCUCGGAUCAGGUAGGGAUACCCGCUGAACUUAAGCAUAUCAA
This 597-nucleotide ribosomal RNA is filed under the name Bipolaris sorokiniana. Its description in RNAcentral is "eukaryotic LSU rRNA". The stretch from base 226 to 379 matches the Rfam family "5.8S ribosomal RNA". Lineage: Eukaryota; Fungi; Ascomycota; Dothideomycetes; Pleosporales; Pleosporaceae. The record is from RNAcentral.